Chelonia mydas (Green sea turtle) is the source of this 135-nucleotide non-coding RNA. NCBI's taxonomy places the organism in Eukaryota, Metazoa, Chordata, Testudines, Cheloniidae. The record is from Rfam.
AGUUUUGUGCAGUAUCGUAGUCUCUGAGGUUGAACUGAGGCAUGAUUAUUGCUAAUUGAAAACUUUUAUUAAUGCCCUACCUUAAUAGCUUGAAAUAUAGCUGUUAUUGGCAAUUUUUGGCAGUCUCUGUAGGGG